RNAcentral lists this ribosomal RNA (253 nucleotides) under uncultured bacterium. Its description in RNAcentral is "partial 16S ribosomal RNA". It matches the Rfam family "Bacterial small subunit ribosomal RNA", at positions 524 to 776 of the family's 1533-position model. The record is from RNAcentral.
UACGGAGGAUCCAAGCGUUAUCCGGAAUCAUUGGGUUUAAAGGGUCCGUAGGCGGUUUUGUAAGUCCGUGGUGAAAGCCCAUCGCUCAACGGUGGAACGGCCAUUGAUACUGCAAGACUUGAAUUAUUAGGAAGUAACUAGAAUAUGUAGUGUAGCGGUGAAAUGCUUAGAGAUUACAUGGAAUACCAAUUGCGAAGGCAGGUUACUACUAAUUGAUUGACGCUGAUGGACGAAAGCGUGGGGAGCGAACAGG